This is a long non-coding RNA of Triticum aestivum (bread wheat), 2559 nucleotides long. RefSeq lists it as uncharacterized. The record is from RefSeq and is a predicted model, not a curated record. The transcript is spliced from 7 exons. NCBI's taxonomy places the organism in Eukaryota, Viridiplantae, Streptophyta, Magnoliopsida, Poales, Poaceae.
CCUAGCCGCCGCCCCUUCUUGUCCAACCCUCGCCCCUCCGCCUCCUCUCCUCCCCACUCCCUCCUCUCCCAGGCCGCCGCCCUCGACACGCCGCCAGGGUGCCAUCGACACGUCAGGGAUAGGCAGUGGUGGAGCGCAGCCCGAGCCCAGCAGCAGUCCACUCCUAACCCCAAGCAAGAGCGAGCAGCGGAUUGGAUCAAGGGAGCCCUCGCGGCCACGCCACUGGCGCCUGGAUUUGCUAGCCGUCGCCUGGAUCCGCCCUAGCCGCCGCCUCGAGUCACCUCCAUCGUUGAUGUGGGUCAACCCCACCGCUGCCGCCAGGAAUCCCAUCCCGGCAAGGGGGCUUGUCCUUCGGUGGUGGUCAUCCGCCGUUUGAGAUUGGAGGGAGACUAGGAGACCCUGGCGGAAGCGAGCCUGCUAGCGGAGGCUCCAGGGAUGCUAGGUGAUAGGGCCCAGUCCAUGGACCGGUUGUGCUGCUGGGAUUUUCAGGAUGAGCCUUCCUAUCCAAAAUUAUCGGAUAAAUUCAACAUAUCUGUGGAAAUCUAGUUUUCUGCAGAUUCAGACGACUCUGAAUGUUGUUCCAUAACUGAUGACUCAAAAUGAUUAUACACUGAAACCGAAGCCUUUGGAAAAUGAAACAGAAACCUUACUUGAGAGCAGGUAGAGGCGUGGAGCCAAUGGUGAUGUUGUUGUUGCCUGCUCUUCUAAACUACUGCUUGUUCAUCGUUUGCUGUUUUGCGUAUCAAGGAAGGUAACUACUCAAAGCAGUUGGCAAGGCAAGCAUUCGAUGGAGCUCAAGCGUUGAUCUUGAAGGAAGGUAACUACUCAAAGGUAUGCACCUAUUCAUGUUGGAGCAGUUAAGUUUGCAAGGAUUUGCUGCUGGAGGGCAUGGUAUGUGCUCUCAAGAAGUUCUUUGUGAUCCGGUGACAUCUUUUGGCCUAUUGGGCAACUGGACAUGAUUUAUAUUGCGAAGUUCAAUGUAUGGAUGACAACUUCCUCUCAUAUCUGUUAUGUAUAUUUUAUAUACAUGGCUUUCGUGUUCUAUCAUGUGCGUUCCUGCUGCAGACUUUUGUAGGGAAAUUCACCAUGAAUUAUAAUGUAUAUAUUUUCAACUACAGCCAUUUUUUUCAGAAGGCAAAAUAAUUUCUGCAUGAUCACAUGUCAUGAUUAUCUCCAUGAAAAAUGCUUUAGACAGUACAAAAAUGCUUUAGACUGUACAAAAUUGUAAAGGAAUCAUGGGACAGUGUUGUAUGUCGCUGCUGAACAGAAGCAGGAUGCAACCAUAAAGAUUUUGUUGGAUCACCAUUCAGAUGUAAGUCCCAUUAAAUGUCUCUUUAUCAUUAUCUUAAAUCACAUUCCUUUAUAGUUUUCUCACUGUUAUAUUUGAUAAUCUUCGAUUGUCUGCUUUCUCCAUUUUCCAGUUAAUUUAAUCCCGAUAGUAAAUUAGUUAGUAUUUUGUUUUAUCUCUGAAAUCUCGAGAAGUACACAAGUUGUUAGGUGUCAGAAAAAGUACACAAGUUGUUAACAUUUGAAAUUAGAUUGUCUCUGACCGAACGAAGCUGUUGAGGAAGAAGGGAUAAAUAAGUGCCGAGAAGAAGGGAUUAGUAAGUUGCUUGAUUCAUGGGCCGAACUGGUUGCCAUACGACUGCUUUGAAAUAUACAUGCAUCUAAGUGGCACAUAAUACUCUCUUUUUUCAAACGCACAAAAACAAAAAUGCUUUAGACUGUACAAAAUUGUAAAGGAAUCAUGGGACAGUGUUGUAUGUCGCUGCUGAACAGAAGCAGGAUGCAACCAUAAAGAUUUUGUUGGAUCACCAUUCAGAUGUAAGUCCCAUUAAAUGUCUCUUUAUCAUUAUCUUAAAUCACAUUCCUUUAUAGUUUUCUCACUGUUAUAUUUGAUAAUCUUCGAUUGUCUGCUUUCUCCAUUUUCCAGUUAAUUUAAUCCCGAUAGUAAAUUAGUUAGUAUUUUGUUUUAUCUCUGAAAUCUCGAGAAGUACACAAGUUGUUAGGUGUCAGAAAAAGUACACAAGUUGUUAACAUUUGAAAUUAGAUUGUCUCUGACCGAACGAAGCUGUUGAGGAAGAAGGGAUAAAUAAGUGCCGAGAAGAAGGGAUUAGUAAGUUGCUUGAUUCAUGGGCCGAACUGGUUGCCAUACGACUGCUUUGAAAUAUACAUGCAUCUAAGUGGCACAUAAUACUCUCUUUUUUCAAAUGCACAAAAACAAAGUUGAUAGAAACACUACUCUUUCUAAAAUAGUAUAAGGCCUCCUUAACAGGUUUUAUACAUGGUGUUAAGUAUACAUAUGUUCUGAAGGGGUUUUAUUGCCUAGCAUUUUGAACCCAAGGGGUUUUUCUCUGUCAAAUCAGCUUAUAAAAUUCAGUUUGGUAUUACCCAGCAACAAGCUAACCGUGCUACUGGUGAAGGCUUAGCAGGCUUGCAGUGGAGGAAAGGGGUCUGGCAAGCCGUAUGGAAAGCUCAUUGCCCUCCCAAAGUACAACACUUCUUAUGGAGAUGUCUGUUUGAAGAUGGCGGCCAUCUUUUCCUUCGCUGUAAGUUAGU